UACAGAGACUGCAAGCGUUAUUCGGAAUCACUGGGCUUACAGGGUGCGUAGGCGGCUUGUCAAGUAGGGUGUGAAAGCCCCCGGCUCAACCGGGGAAUUGCGCCCUAAACUGGCGAGCUGGAGUGAGAUAGGGGUGUGCGGAACUUCCGGUGGAGCGGUGAAAUGUGUUGAUAUCGGAAGGAACGCCGGUGGCGAAAGCGGCACACUGGAUCUCAACUGACGCUGAGGCACGAAAGCGUGGGGAGCAAACAGG
This 253-nucleotide ribosomal RNA is filed under the name uncultured bacterium. RNAcentral describes it as "partial 16S ribosomal RNA". It matches the Rfam family "Bacterial small subunit ribosomal RNA", at positions 524 to 776 of the family's 1533-position model. The record is from RNAcentral.